AUUGAACGCUGGCGGCAUGCCUUACACAUGCAAGUCGAACGGCAGCACGGGUGCUUGCACCUGGUGGCGAGUGGCGAACGGGUGAGUAAUACAUCGGAACGUACCUUAUCGUGGGGGAUAACGCAGCGAAAGCCGUGCUAAUACCGCAUACGCCCCGAGGGGGAAAGCGGGGGAUCGCAAGACCUCGCGCGACUAGAGCGGCCGAUGCCUGGUUAGCUUGUUGGUGGGGUAAAAGCCCACCAAGGCGACGAUCAGUAGCUGGUCUGAGAGGACGAUCAGCCACACUGGGACUGAGACACGGCCCAGACUCCUACGGGAGGCAGCAGUGGGGAAUUUUGGACAAUGGGGGCAACCCUGAUCCAGCAAUGCCGCGUGAGUGGAGAAGGCCUUCGGGUUGUAAAGCUCUUUUGUCAGGGAAGAAACACCGGCUCUAACACAGUCCGGGAAUGACGGUACCUGAAGAAUAAGCACCGGCUAACUACGUGCCAGCCGCCGCGGUAA
Molecule: ribosomal RNA, 501 nt
Filed under: uncultured bacterium
Lineage: Bacteria
Description: partial 16S ribosomal RNA
Rfam family: Bacterial small subunit ribosomal RNA
Source: RNAcentral